Molecule: non-coding RNA, 28 nt
Filed under: Rattus norvegicus (Norway rat)
Lineage: Eukaryota; Metazoa; Chordata; Mammalia; Rodentia; Muridae
Source: RNAcentral
UCAAUAUGUGUGCCUUGAAUGCCAUUUA